Anolis carolinensis (green anole) is the source of this 156-nucleotide small nuclear RNA. Its record names the gene U1. It matches the Rfam family "U1 spliceosomal RNA". From Rfam's summary of the family: U1 is a small nuclear RNA (snRNA) component of the spliceosome (involved in pre-mRNA splicing). Its 5' end forms complementary base pairs with the 5' splice junction, thus defining the 5' donor site of an intron. The record is from Ensembl. Lineage: Eukaryota; Metazoa; Chordata; Lepidosauria; Squamata; Anolidae.
AAACCCAAGGAUUUAAUGACACCAUGAUCACGAAGGUGGUUUUCCCAGGGUGAGGCUCAUCCAUUGCACUCCGGGUGUGCUGACUCCUGCGAUUUCCCCAAAUGCGGAAAACUCCAAAUUGUGAUUGUCUUUAGAAGCUAUUCCAAACAUUAAGGC